Molecule: non-coding RNA, 82 nt
Organism: Trichonephila inaurata madagascariensis
Lineage: Eukaryota; Metazoa; Arthropoda; Arachnida; Araneae; Nephilidae
Source: the annotation of a GenBank genome assembly
CAGGAUGGCCGAGAGGUCUAAGGUGCUGCGUUCAGGCCGCUGUCUACUUGUCUCUGCGUGAGAUCGAAUCUCACUUCUACGA